AGUGAACGCUGGCGGUAGGCCUAACACAUGCAAGUCGAACGGCAGCACAGUAAGAGCUUGCUCUUACGGGUGGCGAGUGGCGGACGGGUGAGGAAUACAUCGGAAUCUACUUUUUCGUGGGGGAUAACGUAGGGAAACUUACGCUAAUACCGCAUACGACCUACGGGUGAAAGCAGGGGAUCUUCGGACCUUGCGCGAUUGAAUGAGCCGAUGUCGGCUUAGCUAGUUGGCGGGGUAAAGGCCCACCAAGGCGACGAUCCGUAGCUGGUCUGAGAGGAUGAUCAGCCCCCCUGGAGCUGAGACACGGUCCAGACUCCUCCGGGAGGCAGCCGUGGGGACUAUUGGACACUGGGCGCAAGCCUGAUCCAGCCAUACCGCGUGGGUGAAGAAGGCCUUCGGGUUGUAAAGCCCUUUUGUUGGGAAAGAAAAGCAGCAGGUUAAUACCCCGCUGUUCUGACGGUACCCAAAGAAUAAGCACCGGCUAACUUCGUG
RNAcentral lists this ribosomal RNA (492 nucleotides) under uncultured bacterium. Its description in RNAcentral is "partial 16S ribosomal RNA". It matches the Rfam family "Bacterial small subunit ribosomal RNA", at positions 29 to 507 of the family's 1533-position model. The record is from RNAcentral.